AAAAAGCACCGGCUAACUACGUGCCAGCAGCCGCGGUAAUACGUAGGGUGCAAGCGUUGUCCGGAAUUAUUGGGCGUAAAGAGCUCGUAGGCGGUUUGUCGCGUCUGCUGUGAAAACCCGAGGCUCAACCUCGGGCCUGCAGUGGGUACGGGCAGACUAGAGUGCGGUAGGGGAGAUUGGAAUUCCUGGUGUAGCGGUGGAAUGCGCAGAUAUCAGGAGGAACACCAAUGGCGAAGGCAGAUCUCUGGGCCGUAACUGACGCUGAGGAGCGAAAGCAUGGGGAGCGAACAGGAUUAGAUACCCUGGUAGUCCAUGCCGUAAACGUUGGGAACUAGAUGUGGGGACCAUUCCACGGUCUCCGUGUCGCAGCUAACGCAUUAAGUUC
RNAcentral lists this ribosomal RNA (385 nucleotides) under Cryobacterium sp. RNAcentral describes it as "bacterial SSU rRNA". It matches the Rfam family "Bacterial small subunit ribosomal RNA", at positions 485 to 867 of the family's 1533-position model. Lineage: Bacteria; Bacillati; Actinomycetota; Actinomycetes; Micrococcales; Microbacteriaceae. The record is from RNAcentral.